UAGGGCAUGAACCUGGCAUACAAUGUAGAUUUCUGUGUUUGUUGAGCAACAGCUACAUUGUCUGCUGGGUUUCAGGCUACCUGG
Bos taurus (domestic cattle) is the source of this 84-nucleotide non-coding RNA. The record is from Rfam. NCBI's taxonomy places the organism in Eukaryota, Metazoa, Chordata, Mammalia, Artiodactyla, Bovidae.